This 489-nucleotide ribosomal RNA is filed under the name Escherichia coli. RNAcentral's name for it is "partial 23S ribosomal RNA". It matches the Rfam family "Bacterial large subunit ribosomal RNA", at positions 701 to 1188 of the family's 2925-position model. The record is from RNAcentral. Lineage: Bacteria; Pseudomonadati; Pseudomonadota; Gammaproteobacteria; Enterobacterales; Enterobacteriaceae.
UGCAGGGUAUAGACCCGAAACCCGGUGAUCUAGCCAUGGGCAGGUUGAAGGUUGGGUAACACUAACUGGAGGACCGAACCGACUAAUGUUGAAAAAUUAGCGGAUGACUUGUGGCUGGGGGUGAAAGGCCAAUCAAACCGGGAGAUAGCUGGUUCUCCCCGAAAGCUAUUUAGGUAGCGCCUCGUGAAUUCAUCUCCGGGGGUAGAGCACUGUUUCGGCAAGGGGGUCAUCCCGACUUACCAACCCGAUGCAAACUGCGAAUACCGGAGAAUGUUAUCACGGGAGACACACGGCGGGUGCUAACGUCCGUCGUGAAGAGGGAAACAACCCAGACCGCCAGCUAAGGUCCCAAAGUCAUGGUUAAGUGGGAAACGAUGUGGGAAGGCCCAGACAGCCAGGAUGUUGGCUUAGAAGCAGCCAUCAUUUAAAGAAAGCGUAAUAGCUCACUGGUCGAGUCGGCCUGCGCGGAAGAUGUAACGGGGCUAAACC